UAGGUUGAUGGGGCACGCAAAGUGCGCCGUCCACUCUAGUAUAUAUGAAAGCUCAAUGAAAGGCUGGCUGCUCGCGCGGGCCACAUCGGCCGAAUUUUUCCGACCGUCGGAUCGACGGCGGACGGAUGGAUGGCUGGGGGCGUCGCCGCUCACGUGCGUGGAGGUGGUGGCUUUCGCGUUCUCGCCUCCGCUCGUGCACCGUAUGAGAGAGGGCGCCGCUCUUCUCUUCCUUCUCACUGCUGCUGCCUCCGCCGCCGCCCCCGUCGAGCUCACGGGUAAGCACGCAUUCUCCUCCCCUCUCCCCCUAAACCUCUUCCAAACACUAACUGUUUACUUUGCUUCGUCCCUCGCGGCCGCGUCGCACCCUCUCCCCGCACUCCGUCUCCCGCCCGCGCCGCUCUUGGUCGGGGAGGAGGGCGGGUCCUUCUGCACGUGCCUCCGCAGCCACGGUUGCCCGUCCCGCCUCCGUGGCCCGUCGCGCUUCUUCCACGCCUUCAGGGUCCGCGCCAACGCCACCUGCCCCAGCGGCCUUGACCUCUGCUUCCACCGGUAGGAAUGCCACAGUGGGUCGAUGUAAGUGCACGGCGUCGCAGUGCAAUAGGAUGCCCAAGGGCGGGCUCUGGGUGCAAGCCAUCUCCCUCUACGACAGCUGGAUGUUUGGCAGAUCUGGACCCGACCGAGGCCAGGACGGCGGCUGUUGGGUCCACGUGGCGGCGGCUGCCGGCAGAGCCUGCUGCGGCGAACACCUUUGUUUUCUUUUUGCUUUUUCUUUCUCUUUUCUCUAACGUUUUAUCCUCUGGUUUUUUGAAUUUGUUUCAUUUUGUUUCUUGUACGCAGGAAGCGACCGGUCAGCGGUUCGGCCAUAGUUUCACCGGACUUGCCAGUUAGCACCUCAGUACAUACAGGCUAUGAGCUUCGUAUGUGUACGUUGCGUUACAGCUUUUAUCCUUCUUUUCUGAGCUGAGUACAGCAUGUUGCUCCAUAGUACAGCUAUUUCCCCUGACUGUAGCGGUGCCGGUCGAUGGCGUCUGCGUCAGUUGCUAGGCCACGCUACAGGUCGUCCUGGCGAAGACGGUGAUGAUCCAUCGAGGCAGCGGCUGCUGGGCGCAGGGUGGUUUAUUACUUCGGUUUCGUGUCUAUUAUAAACUUCUCAAUGUACUAUUGUCAACCGUAGGCGGUUUGAGAGAGAAGCCACCUCAUCUUGCAGCAGGUACAGCUUAGAAGAAUAUAUACUUUGUACGGCAAAACUAAUAGACUCAAUGAUUUUGGGAACACAUAAUGAUCAAACUAUAUUAUUCCUGUAAUUAAACACAGGACGUAGUUUAACUAAUUAUCUGUUUUUUUUGUGU
This is a long non-coding RNA of Oryza brachyantha (malo sina), 1349 nucleotides long. RefSeq lists it as uncharacterized. The record is from RefSeq and is a predicted model, not a curated record. NCBI's taxonomy places the organism in Eukaryota, Viridiplantae, Streptophyta, Magnoliopsida, Poales, Poaceae. The transcript has 3 exons.